Molecule: transfer RNA, 72 nt
Filed under: Dipodomys ordii (Ord's kangaroo rat)
Lineage: Eukaryota; Metazoa; Chordata; Mammalia; Rodentia; Heteromyidae
Rfam family: tRNA
About the family: Transfer RNA (tRNA) molecules are approximately 80 nucleotides in length. Their secondary structure includes four short double-helical elements and three loops (D, anti-codon, and T loops). Further hydrogen bonds mediate the characteristic L-shaped molecular structure. tRNAs have two regions of fundamental functional importance: the anti-codon, which is responsible for specific mRNA codon recognition, and the 3' end, to which the tRNAs corresponding amino acid is attached (by aminoacyl-tRNA synthetases). tRNAs cope with the degeneracy of the genetic code in two manners: having more than one tRNA (with a specific anti-codon) for a particular amino acid; and 'wobble' base-pairing, i.e. permitting non-standard base-pairing at the 3rd anti-codon position.
Source: Rfam by way of RNAcentral
GGGAAGGUAGCUCAGUGGUAGAACGCUUGCCUUGCAUGCAUGAGGCCCUGAGUUCGAUUCCUUGCCACCACA